CCUACGGGUGGCAGCAGUGGGGGAUAUUGCACAAUGGGGGGAACCCUGAUGCAGCGACGCCGCGUGAGCGAAGAAGUACCUCGGUAUGUAAAGCUCUAUCAGCAGGGAAGAAAAUGACGGUACCUGACUAAGAAGCCCCGGCUAAAUCCGUGCCAGCAGCCGCGGUAAUACGUAUGGGGCAAGCGUUAUCCGGAUUUACUGGGUGUAAAGGGAGCGCAGGCGGCCUGCCAAGUCUGGUGGGAAAACCCGGGGCCCAACCCCGGGCCUGCAUUGGAAACUGGCGGGGCGGAGGGUCGGGAGGGGCGGGCGAAGUUCCGGGGGUGGCGGUGAA
This 331-nucleotide ribosomal RNA is filed under the name uncultured bacterium. Its description in RNAcentral is "partial 16S ribosomal RNA". It matches the Rfam family "Bacterial small subunit ribosomal RNA", at positions 338 to 685 of the family's 1533-position model. The record is from RNAcentral.